This 67-nucleotide transfer RNA is filed under the name Eualetes tulipa. RNAcentral's name for it is "tRNA-Ser". Lineage: Eukaryota; Metazoa; Mollusca; Gastropoda; Littorinimorpha; Vermetidae. The record is from RNAcentral.
GUUUUAUGUACUGGGUACUAGGUUGUCUUGAAAACAUCUGAAAAAUGUUCGAUUCAUUUAUAAAACU